AUGCUUGCUUCGGCAGCACAUAUACUAGAACUGGACCGAUACAGAGAAGAUCAGCAGGGCCCCUGCGCUAGGAUGGCACACAAAUUCGUGACACAUUCCUUAUUUUU
Alexandromys fortis (reed vole) is the source of this 107-nucleotide small nuclear RNA. The record is from RefSeq and is a predicted model, not a curated record. Lineage: Eukaryota; Metazoa; Chordata; Mammalia; Rodentia; Cricetidae.